AGAAGCCCCAAGCUUGCCCGAGUGGGCAGAGGGAUCCUCCUCCUGGCAUCACUGAUGUUCACAAGAAGAAUUGAGGCUGUACAAAGUGUUCUUGUUCCUGGCCCUGGAGUGCAUUAAGAACAUGAUGAGCCAGGAGUAUCGGCGAUGUUGCUUGGAUAAUGUCCAUAACUGCUGAGCUUUUCUUCAGCUCUGCAACAAUGGUCACACAACCUGUUAAGACUUUGCACACUUAGCUCAGUGCUGACAACUAAAGCAUCUUAAAAAUGCCA
Pogoniulus pusillus (Red-fronted tinkerbird) is the source of this 269-nucleotide long non-coding RNA. RefSeq lists it as uncharacterized. The record is from RefSeq and is a predicted model, not a curated record. The transcript is spliced from 2 exons. NCBI's taxonomy places the organism in Eukaryota, Metazoa, Chordata, Aves, Piciformes, Lybiidae.